UCAGUGAGAAAGACUUCUCAUUGCUCCCUUGCAGAGUAUGUGCGGUAGGAGAGAAGGACGGGGAGCGACCCGAGAAAGUCUCAAUUAUUUGCGAAAGCAAUACAGAAAUCUGAUUGUUCCCCCCUACCACAACUAUCGGCGGCUCUCUUG
Caenorhabditis elegans is the source of this 150-nucleotide non-coding RNA. The record is from Ensembl. Lineage: Eukaryota; Metazoa; Nematoda; Chromadorea; Rhabditida; Rhabditidae.